RNAcentral lists this ribosomal RNA (460 nucleotides) under uncultured bacterium. RNAcentral's name for it is "partial 16S ribosomal RNA". It matches the Rfam family "Bacterial small subunit ribosomal RNA", at positions 338 to 795 of the family's 1533-position model. The record is from RNAcentral.
CCUACGGGGGGCAGCAGUGAGGAAUAUUGGUCAAUGGACGAGAGUCUGAACCAGCCAAGUAGCGUGAAGGAUGACUGCCCUAGGGGUUGUAACCUUCUUUUAUAUGGGAAUAAAAAAGGGUAUGCAUACCCCCUUGUAUGUACCAUAUGAAUAAGAAUCGGCUAACUCCGUGCCAGCAGCAGCGGUAAUACGGAGGAUCCGAGCGUUAUCCGGAUUUAUUGGGUUUAAAGGGAGCGUAGGUGGAUUGUUAAGUCAGUUGUGAAAGUUUGCGGCUCAACCGUAAAAGUGCAGUUGAAACUGGCAGUCUUGAGUACAGUAGAGGUGGGCGGAAUUCGUGGUGUAGCGGUGAAAUGCUUAGAUAUCACGAAGAACUCCGAUUGCGAAGGCAGCUCACUGGACUGCAACUGACACUGAUGCGCGAAAGUGUGGGUAUCAAACAGGAUUAGAUACCCCUGUAGUC